GCGAGGGUAGUUCAGCGGUAGAACGUCUCCUUGCCAAGGAGAAGGUCGCGGGUUCAAGUCCCGUCCCUCGCUCCA
This 75-nucleotide transfer RNA is filed under the name candidate division WWE3 bacterium CG_4_10_14_0_2_um_filter_42_8. RNAcentral's name for it is "tRNA-Gly". It matches the Rfam family "tRNA". From Rfam's summary of the family: Transfer RNA (tRNA) molecules are approximately 80 nucleotides in length. RNAcentral also lists the same sequence under 3 other names. Lineage: Bacteria; candidate division WWE3. The record is from RNAcentral.